GGGGCUACUAGUCUAGCAGAGUGUUUUCUUUUGUUAUAUUAAACCAGAUCUGUUUCUCUGCUGCUUCACUUCACUCAAAAAAAAGCUCUCAGUCGCCCUAAAAUCCCGAAUUUUGAUUUCCAGAUUUUUCAAUUCGAUUCUAGGGUUUCUGAACGGCUCCCAAAAUCCACCAUAAUUGAUGCCACUCUCCUCCGCCAUGUAAUGUAGGGUUUCAAUUUUGGCAAAUAUGGAUUGGGUCUGGUACGACACGAAGCCAGCAAAAGUUUCAAAGAGGGUGUGGUUAGUAAUUCAAAAAACGAUGGGGCUCCUCGUGGGUGGGAAUCACACCUCCUCCAGGUUUUGCACUCGCUAAUCUACUCUCUCAUUCUGUGUUUGGCUUUUUCCCCUCGCAAAGUUUUCUUAUAGAAUUCUUUACCAAAAUUCCCAACUUUACUCUUUUUGAUAAAAGAACUGAUAUUUGAUCGAGAAACCCCAUUUGCUUGCGUUACGAUUUGGGCCUUAUGUUUCAGAGCCAAAUUUUCAAAACGAAGAGAAUCAUGGAUUUGAAGGCUCUGAAAUCGCAGAUCCUUCAUGGGUCUCUGGCCAGGCGUGUGUUUUUCCGCGCUUUCUUUAUCGCCUCGGCCAUGUCCAUUAUACCCUUGUUUCACGUUUUGUCAGGACCCUAUAUAACAAUGUUCACUUUUGUGAAUCCGGGUGACUGCGCCUCCCAAUUGGGCCAUACCCAUGUCGACUUGGCCCCGGGAAAGUUCAACUUUCAGAGUCGUUACCUGAAUCCCUUUUGGGGCUCUUUCAAUUCGGACCGGUGCAAGCAAGAUGUGAACUUGACUGUCAGUGUGGUCAGAGAGCUUAUGAGCAAGCAGAUAUUGAAUUAUGGUACAAAAGCUCUCUGUGUUGGAGAAGGCUCCGCCUCAACCGUGUUGGCAUUGCAAGAUUUGGGUUUCCCCAAUGCUCGUGGUGUUUAUGAACGCCGCUUCUUCUCACUGAAGCGCAAACAGUUCGUGUACGAAAUUGACUAUGAGGACAAAUCUUUUGAUUUUGUGCUCUCCAGGGAUCUAGAUAAGGUUUCUGUCCCUGCGCUUCUUGUGCUCGAGAUCGAGCGUGUACUUAGCCCUGGUGGGAUUGGGGCAAUACUUGUGGGUAGCAGCAUUUCCGCCCCGAAUAGCUUGAUUAGGUCUGCCACCCCAAUUUCUUCGUUGCUGAAAAGUUCCAGCGUUGUGCAUGUUAACCACAUCGGUAACUUCACUUUGGUUGUGUUCAGGAAAAGUUAUGAAAAUGCUGGGCUUUUUGAGAAGUAUCGCCUUCCGGCUGACUGCCAAUCUCUCACAAACAAUCGACCUUUCAUUGGGAAAAUGGAGCCUCUUGUGAAGGAAAAGCCAGUCGAUUAUGGAAAGAAGUUCAAUUAUUUGCCUAAUUUUGUUGAUCUUUCCUCAAAGAAGCGCUUGGUCUAUGUUGAUAUUGGGGCAGCGGAGCACCUGAACUCAAAUGCUACAAAUUGGUUCCUGCCCUCUUAUCCCAUCGAACGCAAAGCUUUCCAUACUUAUUUUGUUGACCACAACACUUCUGUUCUAUUGUCCUAUGUCAAAAAGCCAGGAAUCACCUUUGUUUAUCAUCCAGGGCUGGCUGGAAUUAAGGCUCAAGUCAAUGUUACAACUGAUGGAGAAACAGAGCCAUAUGUGGGAGAUGAAGGGUUUGAUUUCCAUGCCUGGUUUAAGGAAACGGUGCAGUUUGCAGAUUUCGUGGUCCUGAAGAUGAAUGCAGGGAAUGUAGAACUGAAGUUCCUCACAGAGCUGUUUGAAAGUGGAGCCAUAUGCUUUGUAGACGAGCUGUUUCUUCAUUGCUCCGGCGGUGUUGAUGCAGGAGGUGCAAUGCCGGUGGACUGCAUGGACAUCUUCGGAAGCCUCCGUAGCAGUGGUGUCUUUGUCCAUCAGUGGUGGGGAGACGGCAACCCUGUUGAUGUUCUUUGAUCCGUUCGGUUUGAUCAUGUUUCGACCGUAGUGUGUUAUGUUGUUGAACUCGGGCUUACCAACUGCUCGAGGAUUGAAGCAAUCAGCGACUUCACUGGCUACAAUCAACACUAGAAAGUGAUACACCCAUUUUAUCGUUAGAGAGUAGACUAACAUUAAAUUGUAAAUAAGCUUGAUUAUAGUUUCAAGUGAAGUUUCGCUUUGGUCCAUA
Molecule: non-coding RNA, 2175 nt
Organism: Prunus avium (sweet cherry)
Lineage: Eukaryota; Viridiplantae; Streptophyta; Magnoliopsida; Rosales; Rosaceae
Source: RefSeq, a predicted model, not a curated record